RNAcentral lists this ribosomal RNA (443 nucleotides) under uncultured bacterium. RNAcentral describes it as "partial 16S ribosomal RNA". It matches the Rfam family "Bacterial small subunit ribosomal RNA", at positions 338 to 795 of the family's 1533-position model. The record is from RNAcentral.
CCUACGGGAGGCAGCAGUGGGGAAUAUUGGACAAUGGGGGGAACCCUGAUCCAGCGACGCCGCGUGAGUGAAGAAGUAUUUCGGUAUGUAAAGCUCUAUCAGCAGGGAAGAAAGAAAUGACGGUACCUGACUAAGAAGCCCCGGCUAACUACGUGCCAGCAGCCGCGGUAAUACGUAGGGGGCAAGCGUUAUCCGGAUUUACUGGGUGUAAAGGGAGCGUAGACGGCGAUGCAAGUCUGAAGUGAAAGGCGGGGGCCCAACCCCCGGACUGCUUUGGAAACUGUAUGGCUGGAGUGCAGGAGAGGUAAGUGGAAUUCCUAGUGUAGCGGUGAAAUGCGUAGAUAUCUGGAGGAACAUCAGUGGCGAAGGCGACUAUCUGGCACAUAACUGACGCUGAGGAGCGAAAGCGUGGGUAGCAAACAGGAUUAGAUACCCGUGUAGUC